UCGGGUGUAGCUCAGCGGUAGAGCAAUCGGCUGUUAACCGAUUGGUCGUAGGUUCGAAUCCUACCACCCGAGCCA
Molecule: transfer RNA, 75 nt
Filed under: Acetobacteraceae bacterium
Lineage: Bacteria; Pseudomonadati; Pseudomonadota; Alphaproteobacteria; Acetobacterales; Acetobacteraceae
Also listed under: 2 other names
Description: tRNA-Asn
Rfam family: tRNA
About the family: Transfer RNA (tRNA) molecules are approximately 80 nucleotides in length. Their secondary structure includes four short double-helical elements and three loops (D, anti-codon, and T loops). Further hydrogen bonds mediate the characteristic L-shaped molecular structure. tRNAs have two regions of fundamental functional importance: the anti-codon, which is responsible for specific mRNA codon recognition, and the 3' end, to which the tRNAs corresponding amino acid is attached (by aminoacyl-tRNA synthetases). tRNAs cope with the degeneracy of the genetic code in two manners: having more than one tRNA (with a specific anti-codon) for a particular amino acid; and 'wobble' base-pairing, i.e. permitting non-standard base-pairing at the 3rd anti-codon position.
Source: RNAcentral